CAACUACGCAGCAAACAUUCAGACACCGAGAGACCAUUUAAAGAGAAAGAGGGACGGCGGAAAAGAGUGGACAAAGUGAACCCCAUAAUGUACGCAACAGCUAAUAUUAGAUCCAAAAUGACAAAUCCCAAUGACAAAAACCGGAGCAUAAGCGAUCAGGGAACAAGUGGCGGAAUGGAUAAUAAACUGGCUGCAAAACAAAGACAAGGAGUAAUAGGAGUUACUCUUAACUGCUGACAAAUAGAAGCCAUUUAAGGCCAAUAACCUAUGUUACUGGGAACCCUGUUAAUGAUGUGAUUUGUGGUCCUGUCAUGAGACUUGACCUUGGAGCUCUUGGAAAGAUUGAGGAAGCUGUGAAGUCUCACCCCAGCAGGUCAACUGACCAUGCCAGCUUAUAAAUUCUUCCAUGCAUAUCACAAUUGGCAAUGAGCUUUUGUCUCAGUAUUUCUGCUUCUGGGUGCUUUGUGGUGAUGUGGUGCAUCCAAUAGUGGAAAUGAAGCAAUUGAAGCCAAAUUUGUUGGAUUUGCAGAUGAUGCUCAGGAGGAUUUAAACUGUUUCCUGAUGGUUGUACAUCUGUUCCCCUCCAUAUUUAUUGCCCACCUCUGCUGUGUUGUAAUGGAAAUGGUGAGCCUUCUCGAGAACCAUGCCAGUUCCUGUUAUGUGGUGAUGCAAGACUAUUACUAUAGCAGCAACAAAGGAAUGUUAAUAUCUUCCAAUAUGUGUGGUAUACAGCUUGGAGAGAGAAUUAA
Long non-coding RNA from Pristis pectinata (smalltooth sawfish), 749 nucleotides. RefSeq lists it as uncharacterized. The record is from RefSeq and is a predicted model, not a curated record. Lineage: Eukaryota; Metazoa; Chordata; Chondrichthyes; Rhinopristiformes; Pristidae. The transcript is spliced from 5 exons.